Long non-coding RNA from Paramormyrops kingsleyae, 402 nucleotides. RefSeq lists it as uncharacterized. Lineage: Eukaryota; Metazoa; Chordata; Actinopteri; Osteoglossiformes; Mormyridae. The record is from RefSeq and is a predicted model, not a curated record.
GUUUCACCGUGAUCGGGAACGGACGGGCCGCUCUGGGAUACAUGAAGUGCGACCAAGACAGUGAACAUAGGCAACAAGACGGCUAGACAACAGGACGACAAGUGAAUCCAGACAACAAUACUAAACAAACAAGGGAAGAUGCAGGUCAGACUAGCCGAAGGUCCAGCGGGUGGGGAUGCUCUGGGUCAGAACCAGCAGCUCUGGGUCAGAACCAGCAGCUCUGGGUCAGAACCAGCAGCUCUGGAAACUCAUUUCAACAUCCCUGGCAGUAUGACGGGGGGCAUCACGAGAUUCUCCUGCAGCCCCCGAUCUACUGGAGGCGCGAAUGCAGACUGGGGGGAGGGCACACAGAGACCCCUAAAAAGACAGCUAAUGUAGAUGGAUGGGUGCAGCUGGCAAGAA